This 632-nucleotide ribosomal RNA is filed under the name uncultured bacterium. RNAcentral describes it as "bacterial SSU rRNA". It matches the Rfam family "Bacterial small subunit ribosomal RNA", at positions 57 to 715 of the family's 1533-position model. The record is from RNAcentral.
GCAAGUCGAACGAGGUAGCAAUACCUAGUGGCGCACGGGUGAGUAACGCGUGGAUAAUCUGCCCUUCACUGGGGAAUAACUAAUCGAAAGGUUAGCUAAUACCGCAUGAGGCCACAGUUUCUGAGGAAGCAGUGGUUAAAGAUUUAUUGGUGAAGGAUGAGUCUGCGUGGGAUUAGCUAGUUGGUGAGGUAAUGGCUCACCAAGGCUACGAUCUCUAACAGGUCUGAGAGGAUGACCUGUCACACUGGAACUGAGACACGGUCCAGACUCCUACGGGAGGCAGCAGUAGGGAAUAUUGCGCAAUGGACGAAAGUCUGACGCAGCGACGCCGCGUGAGUGAUGAAGGCCUUAGGGUCGUAAAGCUCUGUUGCAGGGGAAGAAAAAAAUGACGGUACCCUGCGAGAAAGGAUCGGCUAACUUCGUGCCAGCAGCCGCGGUAAGACGAGGGAUCCUAGCGUUGUUCGGAAUCAUUGGGCGUAAAGCGCAUGUAGGCUGCCAUUCAAGUCAGUUGUGAAAGCCCCGGGCUCAACCCGGGAAGUGCUUCUGAUACUGUUUGGCUUGAGUACUAGAGAGGAUAGUAGAAUUCCAGGUGUAGUGGUGAAAUACGUAGAUAUCUGGAGGAAUACCGGUGG